CUGGUUUACGACACUCGCGGCUUUACGACAUCACCUUCCUUACACCUAGAGGCGCUCGCUCUACGACCGGAACCUUGUUGCUAGGGCGAGGGCGGUUUGCGGCAACGGUGGGCGCUGGCGAGCUUUGCAACUGAGGGGCCGAGGGAAAAGUUUCCCCUCAGGUACCCAGUGGGUGGCGGGGAAGCGGGAGACCGCUGGGACCUGGGCUGGGCAAGAUUAUAGGCUCCUAAAAAGCAUUCACCACACUUUGUAUGUUGUGUAUUCUUUAUUCACUAUCCAGACUUGCAGAUACUAACUCUCUGGAAUGAUUUUGGAAAAUUCUGUGAUGGACGCUUACAGCUUUCCUUAAAUCAGGAAGAAUAAAGUCUAAGUUUAAAUUAUGUUUAAAAGUAUGAAGAAUGAAACAAGAUAAUUUUUAUUUUUAGAAGGUUUAUUUCUGUAGGUAAAUGACAGUUCCAUGUCUUGUAUAUAUUUAGGUAUGGACCUUUUAGAGAGGUAUUAUUGAUACCUUUCUACUUAUUGAUAUUGAAGAUAUGCUUGAAAAUGAAUGAGGUUAGUAUUAUACAUCUGCAAAGAAUCAAGACUCUACCUUUAAUUAGCUGGUGCCUAGCAUAGGUGUAAAUAGUGAGUAUGACAGUUUACCUUAAAGGGGAGUAGCAGUGGACUGGGCAGCAAAGAUUUUUUUAAAGAACCUUUUAAAAAUAAUAUUUUUUCUGAUUAAUAAUGAAGAUAGGAUAAAUUAUACAAUAAGGACAAAUGAGAACAUAGAUAAGAUGUAGCUUACACACCAGAAAUCACAGGAUCAUAAUACAAGGUCUUAGAAAAACAAAUCAUCAAUGGUCAAAAAAUAUGAACAGGUAGUUUUGAAAGGAAGAAAUUCAGUCUAUCAGUAACCAUAUACAAAGCAACAAAAAUAAAAGAACAAACUCUAGAUUCUAAGAAUUAGAGAAAUUAAAAUGAAAGCAACUCUGAGGUUCUAUUUUAUAUCCAUCAGAUUUGCAAAAAUUAUAAGGAAAAAAAAGGAAAAUGUCAGAUGUUGGUGGGACUAAGUUAAAAGACAUGUUUAUUAAUAUAGUACCUAUGGGGCUUUAAGUAAGUCUGUACUGGAAUGUAAUUUGGAACUAUGCCCCAAAAGGCACUAAAUUGUGCAUAAUUUUUGACAAGUGAUAAUAUCACAAGGCUAUAGCCCAAAAGAAUCAAACUAAGAAGGAAAGGACCCAGACAAAAAGAAAUUUGUGGCAUUUUUUUUUGUAGUGGCAAGGAAUUGGAAUUUAAUGGCAUAUCCACCAAUUAGGGAACGUCUGAACAAAUAAGACCUAUGAAUGUAAUGGAAUACUAUUCUGUUUUAAGAAAUGAAGGGAACAGUUUCUGAGAAACUUUGGAAGACUUAUAUGAACAGAUAGCAGAGUGAAGUGAGUAGAACUAGGAAAACAAUUUAUAUAGUAGCAAUACUAUAAUGACAACUUGAAAAACUUUAGAACUCUAAUGUGUAAUGACCAUCGAGGUUCCAAAGGACUCCUGAUGAAAUAUGAAAUUCUGGCAGAGAAAUAAUGGAUUCUAGAAUACACAUGUAUGGCAUGUAUUUUGGGGGUAUGAUUUAUUUGGGAUUUUGUUUAAGCUGUUGCUUCAUGCUUAUUUUUUAUAGGAAGUUUUCUUUUUAAUCAGUGUAGAAUAGGAGAGGGAGAAAGUAGAUUUUAAUAAAAAGAAUAAAGUUAAAAAGAAUUAUAUACUUAUUUUAAGUAUUUAGAAGAUGGUAAAGUGCAGUUUAACAUUUUUAUCAUG
RNAcentral lists this long non-coding RNA (1782 nucleotides) under Sarcophilus harrisii (Tasmanian devil). RNAcentral describes it as "lncRNA (ENSSHAG00000030058.1)". Lineage: Eukaryota; Metazoa; Chordata; Mammalia; Dasyuromorphia; Dasyuridae. The record is from RNAcentral.